UUGGUGCAUUUUGAGAAUUCCAUGCUUGGCAUCAAGAGAGCUACAUUAGCUGAAUAGUUCAUAACCAUUGGCUUCAAAAGGAUGUCCUUUUCUGAAGCUUUCAGCAUAUAGGAUUCGCUCAAAUUUUCAAUGCUGUUGUAAAUGUUUCCAAUGCACCCCGCUGUUCCUUGUUUAUUAAGGAGCCUUAUCACAGUGCCAACAGGUAAUGAUAAUAUUGAAGAGAAAAUCAACAAAAUCUUUAGUUGCUUCAGCAAACAGAAUUCUGUGGGUUAUUGGGUCUAUCAGAAGCUUCAAG
Molecule: long non-coding RNA, 295 nt
Filed under: Gossypium raimondii (Peruvian cotton)
Lineage: Eukaryota; Viridiplantae; Streptophyta; Magnoliopsida; Malvales; Malvaceae
Description: long non-coding RNA (GRAI_LNC009636)
Source: RNAcentral